UUUCACAGAGAAGGGGGAUUGCUUCGUCUCAGUGAGAGCCCCGUUCCCGUACACCGCUACAACACCGGAUCCUGCCAUUUUCGCCGGAAAAUGAAGCGAAUAAUAUGGCGGCGUAUGAGAGAGAAGGGUGAAGAAUCAGCCGCAGUGGAAAGGGUGGUGAAGAAGAAGAAGAGGAAGGAAGUGACGAGAAACUGAGGCAGAAAGUGGUGGUUUAAGUAAAGGAUGUUCUCGAAUGAUCUUAUCGAGAAGAGAAGCGUAGGCCACACGUCAAGCAUACGCGCGUGGAAUAGAUUGAAGUGGGUCCCAUGCAGUCGUUAAUAGUUGAAAAAAAGUAUUCGAAUCCAG
Molecule: unclassified non-coding RNA, 345 nt
Filed under: Hevea brasiliensis (rubber tree)
Lineage: Eukaryota; Viridiplantae; Streptophyta; Magnoliopsida; Malpighiales; Euphorbiaceae
Source: RNAcentral